RNAcentral lists this ribosomal RNA (448 nucleotides) under uncultured bacterium. RNAcentral's name for it is "bacterial SSU rRNA". It matches the Rfam family "Bacterial small subunit ribosomal RNA", at positions 329 to 792 of the family's 1533-position model. The record is from RNAcentral.
UCCCAGACUCCUACGGGAGGCAGCAGUGAGGAAUAUUGGUCAAUGGGCGGGAGCCUGAACCAGCCAAGCCGCGUGAAGGAAGAAGGCUUUCGGGUUGUAAACUUCUUUUAAGAGGGAAGAGUAGAAGACGGUACCUCUUGAAUAAGCCACGGCUAACUACGUGCCAGCAGCCGCGGUAAUACGUAGGUGGCAAGCGUUGUCCGGAUUUACUGGGUGUAAAGGGCGUGUAGCCGGGCCGGCAAGUCAGAUGUGAAAUCCCGAGGCUCAACCUUGGAACUGCAUUUGAAACUGUUGGUCUUGAGUAUCGGAGAGGCAGGCGGAAUUCCUAGUGUAGCGGUGAAAUGCGUAGAUAUUAGGAGGAACACCAGUGGCGAAGGCGGCCUGCUGGACAGCAACUGACGCUGAGGCGCGAAAGCGUGGGGAGCAAACAGGAUUAGAUACCCCCGUA